CCGGCUCCGGUUCACGAUGCGGUUUCCGUUGCGCUGGCUCGAUGCAGUGCGCGCCGCUCGACCCGGCGGCC
This 71-nucleotide non-coding RNA is filed under the name unclassified sequences. Its description in RNAcentral is "L31-Actinobacteria ribosomal protein leader". It matches the Rfam family "L31-Actinobacteria ribosomal protein leader". The record is from RNAcentral.